This 380-nucleotide long non-coding RNA is filed under the name Monodelphis domestica (gray short-tailed opossum). Its description in RNAcentral is "lncRNA (ENSMODG00000037724.1)". Lineage: Eukaryota; Metazoa; Chordata; Mammalia; Didelphimorphia; Didelphidae. The record is from RNAcentral.
UGUACUGGUUGACUUCUGACUGAGACUUCUGCUUGACCCAAAGUGGACUCCAGUUAUGAAGGAGAUUGAUCUGGAAGGUUAAGACCAUAUGACGUUCAACCGGCCAUGAGAAUAAGCCACCUGAGAUCCAGGAGUCUGAGAUAUAGCUGAGUCCAGCUUUGUAUCCAUCCAAGCACCGAUGCCCUGAGGAUUGAUGUUUGGGACCCAGCCUAUUGGUACCUGACACUAGGGUUUAUCCAGCAAAUAUGAGCCCAGCGAGAUCAAUGUUAUGUAGAAACUGUCUUUUUAUGGUGGCAAAGAAUUAGAAACUAAGAGGAAACCCAUCAAAUGGAGAAUGACCAUGACUGAACAAGUUGGGCUAAAUGAUUCUGAUGGAAUAA